UACAGAGGGUGCGAGCGUUAAUCGGAAUUACUGGGCGUAAAGCGCGCGUAGGCGGCUUUGCAAGUCGGGUGUGAAAUCCCCAGGCUUAACCUGGGAACUGCAUUCGAGACUGCAUUGCUAGAGUAUGGGAGAGGGAAGUGGAAUUUCCGGUGUAGCGGUGAAAUGCGUAGAUAUCGGAAGGAACACCAGUAGCGAAGGCGGCUCGCUGGGCCAUUCCUGACGCUGAGACGCGAAAGCUAGGGGAGCGAACAGG
Molecule: ribosomal RNA, 253 nt
Filed under: uncultured bacterium
Lineage: Bacteria
Description: partial 16S ribosomal RNA
Rfam family: Bacterial small subunit ribosomal RNA
Source: RNAcentral